Molecule: non-coding RNA, 465 nt
Organism: Pelobates cultripes (western spadefoot toad)
Lineage: Eukaryota; Metazoa; Chordata; Amphibia; Anura; Pelobatidae
Source: the annotation of a GenBank genome assembly
AAACCGGAGACCUCUUAUGGUCUCAAAAACCUGUAUCUAUCUUAGAUACUAACCUGGGUUACCAAGAACCCCUAUAUAUAUUUAGACCAAAUGUCUAAUAAACCGGAGACCUCUUAUAGUCUCAAUAUAACUAGAGUCCUUACACCUUUCCUAUCUACUGGAUACAGUCUUACUGAACCAAACGGGGGUCAUAGACAAUCAGCGUCAAUAAGACACAAAAAGGCUACUCACCGCAAUGGUUUUGCUGAUCCAUCCAUCCCACUUCUAGACACCAAGCUGAAAGGGUUAAUGUUGUAAUGGACUCUAAUCCCCUCGGUUCUCGAUCCCUCGGUCACCAUAAUCAACGUUGAUGGAGAAUCAUUGUAAGCACUAACACACGGACAACAGCUUUACAAGACUCUCAAAUGAGUGUAUUCCAGAGCUGGCUUUUAUACAUAGUUUGCUUACAUUAGCCAUGGUAUAUGC